UACAGAGGUCUCAACCGUUGUUCGGAUUCAUUGGGCGUAAAGGGUGCGUAGGCGGUCGGGUAAGUCGGAUGUGAAAUCUCAGGGCUCAACCCUGAAACUGCAUUCGAUACUGCCUGGCUAGGGUACUGGAGAGGAGACUGGAAUUUACGGUGUAGCAGUGAAAUGCGUAGAUAUCGUAAGGAAGACCAGUGGCGAAGGCGGGUCUCUGGGACGGUACUGACGCUGAGACGCGAAAGCGUGGGGAGCGAACAGG
Molecule: ribosomal RNA, 253 nt
Filed under: uncultured bacterium
Lineage: Bacteria
Description: partial 16S ribosomal RNA
Rfam family: Bacterial small subunit ribosomal RNA
Source: RNAcentral